ACUCUCUCCAUAAUUUGUGGGGCUUAUAAAAAAGAACUCUCUUUCCUUAGACAGAGUACUACUAACUCUUUAUUUUCCACUUCUCCUUUUAGUGACAUUUGCUAGCUCGGAAUUUAAAAGAGACUACCAGCUGCAGCCCAUAGGGAGCUGUUACAUACUCUUGCAAUUUAGUAGUGGAGCCUGUGAUUUCUUUUCUUUCUAUCCCAUAAAUGCUUGGACUUUUGAUUGUGGUGGGGGUUUCUUCUUGGUUCUUAUUCCCAGCAGCUGGUAACUAUUUAUGUUUUGAUAUAGCUAUUUGGAAGUUUUAGGAAUGGAUAAGAUUUUUCCCUAGGUGGGUUGAACACUUUGUUACUCAGAUACAGAUCCUGUGAAAAGUCUGAAGUAUAUUUCCAGACAUCUCUCUAUCAUCACUUUACAGCAUUUGGAUCACUUGUAUUCAGAAGUUUGCUACAGGCAGCAUGAAAAUACUGGGAAAAGCAAAGUGUGCAAUGAUAUCAGAGCCAAGUGAACAAUGCAGAAACGGAUCCUGGGUGCCUGGAUCUCUAACCAUGACUGCAAAGCACAAAGGCUAUGUCAAAGCAUUCAUGGAUAGACUCCCCUACAUGGCUGCUAAAGAAAUUUGGAAUCAUGAGAGCAGGACUAGCCUUUUCCCAAGGGGCUGGAGAGACCUUUGCCUGAAGGCACCUGAGAUCUGGAGAAUAGCCUCCAAUAGUCUUGGAGAAUUGACAGAGGCCUCUGGGGUGCCCUGCUUAGCUGCUUUGAGACAGGUCAUACAGCAUUUUCACAACUCCACUGCAAACCAUAAACUUGGAAGAGCAACUCUCCUUUUCUGUGUAGCUGUGCAGCAGUUACCAGUUGAUGAAGACGUGUCAGCAGACUUCAGCAGACCAGCUGAUAGAGACUGUCGUAGCAUGUGAUGAACUUUCACUGAUUUCCUACAGGUGUAGAGCUGCAGCUUCGUUAUUGCUUUGGGACCACAAGAGCAACUGUGAGCACCUGUGGCAGGGAAGAUGUAAGGCAGAGACAAGUAAAUGAACCUUCUCUUGGAGGUAUAAGACAUUGAUGUCCCAUGUGUCGACCCCUGCAGAACAGAAUCAGGAGGUAUCUGUGCAGACUAAGCUCAACGUGUUUUAUUCUGGAUUUCUACUGAUGUCUGAGAGCAUAUGCUGCUGAACAGAAGGAGCACUGUUGCCUCCAGGAAAUUCCAAAAAAUUUCUGGAUCACAGCGAAAUCAUGACUGGGAAGUCUUGAAAGUGGUUUGCUUCAGUACUCUGUGACAGGGGACAAAUGCAUCUGUGGUGUACUUACUUCCUCCUCCUAAAAGGUCACCUGUUCCACUGCUCUGGUUGUAUGAAAUUGCUGGGGUAUAGGCACAAUCACAGUCAAUGUCUUAUAAAAAGAUUACGUGGAUGCCAAUCUGCAUAUGAAACAGUGCUACAACAUGUUUAGUAUCGAAUGAAACAAUGUUCACAGUCUUGUGCUGGUUUGGAAUUGGAAUAUAUUUAUUAAUUUAUAUUAUUUAAAACAUUCUUUUUUUUUUUUCUUUUUUUUUUUUACAGAAAUGCACUCAUUAAAGAUAGAACAUUCUGUAUGGCUGAAAAAGAAUAAAAGUAUUCUUAGCAAUUAAUUUUUAAAAUGG
This 1639-nucleotide long non-coding RNA is filed under the name Anas platyrhynchos platyrhynchos (common mallard). RNAcentral's name for it is "lncRNA (ENSAPLG00000024235.1)". Lineage: Eukaryota; Metazoa; Chordata; Aves; Anseriformes; Anatidae. The record is from RNAcentral.